This 25-nucleotide non-coding RNA is filed under the name Rattus norvegicus (Norway rat). The record is from RNAcentral. Lineage: Eukaryota; Metazoa; Chordata; Mammalia; Rodentia; Muridae.
UGCUAUUGACUUGAUCAAGCCUGCC